AUAACUCAUUUGACCCAUCAACU
This 23-nucleotide small nuclear RNA is filed under the name Arabidopsis thaliana (thale cress). RNAcentral's name for it is "snRNA_07916". Lineage: Eukaryota; Viridiplantae; Streptophyta; Magnoliopsida; Brassicales; Brassicaceae. The record is from RNAcentral.